GCCUACGGGGGGCAGCAGUGAGGAAUAUUGGUCAAUGGACGAGAGUCUGAACCAGCCAAGUAGCGUGAGGGAAGAAGGCUUUCGGGUUGUAAACUUCUUUUAAGGGGGAAGAGCAGAAGACGGUACCCCUUGAAUAAGCCACGCCUAACUACGUGCCAGCAGCCGCGGUAAUACGUAGGUGGCAAGCGUUGUCCGGAUUUACUGGGUGUAAAGGGCGUGCAGCCGGAGAGACAAGUCAGAUGUGAAAUCCACGGGCUCAACCCGUGAACUGCAUUUGAAACUGUUUCCCUUGAGUGUCGGAGAGG
RNAcentral lists this ribosomal RNA (305 nucleotides) under uncultured bacterium. Its description in RNAcentral is "bacterial SSU rRNA". It matches the Rfam family "Bacterial small subunit ribosomal RNA", at positions 337 to 657 of the family's 1533-position model. The record is from RNAcentral.